This 72-nucleotide transfer RNA is filed under the name Phrynosoma platyrhinos (Desert horned lizard). RNAcentral's name for it is "tRNA-OTHER". The record is from RNAcentral. Lineage: Eukaryota; Metazoa; Chordata; Lepidosauria; Squamata; Phrynosomatidae.
GCCAGCAUGGUUUAGUGGUUCAAAUGUUGGACUAUGGUUCUGGAGACCAGGGUUCAAUUCCCAGCUCAGCCA